This 720-nucleotide ribosomal RNA is filed under the name Pantoea agglomerans. RNAcentral describes it as "partial 16S ribosomal RNA". It matches the Rfam family "Bacterial small subunit ribosomal RNA", at positions 441 to 1155 of the family's 1533-position model. The record is from RNAcentral. Lineage: Bacteria; Pseudomonadati; Pseudomonadota; Gammaproteobacteria; Enterobacterales; Erwiniaceae.
GGGGAGGAGGGGGUUGCGGUAAAUACCGGGGUGGAGGNNUUNNNGNANAGAAGCCGGCCUAACUCCGUGCCCGCAGCCGCGAUAAUACGGGGGGUGCGAGCGAUAAUCGGAUUUACUGGGCGAAGAGGGCGCGGGGGGGGUGUGUAAAGUCAGAUGUGAAAUCCCCGGUUUUAUCCUGAGAACUGUUUUUGAAUGUGGCAGGCUUGAGUUUUGUAGAGGGGGGGAGAAUUCCGGGUGUAGUGGAGAAAUGCAUAGAGAUCUGGAGGAAUACCGGUGGCAAAGGCGGCCCCCUGGACAGAGACUGACUCUCAGGUGCGAAGGCGUGAGGAGCAAACAGGAUUAUAUACCCUGGNNCCCGCCCCGUAANCNAUGUCAACUUGGAGGUUGUUCCCUUGAGGAGUGGCUUCCGGAGCUAACGCGUUAAGUCGACCGCCUGGGGAGUACCGCCGCAAGAUUAUAACUCGAAUGAAUUGACGNNGGCCCGCACGAGCGGGGUAUCAUGUGGAAUACUUCGAUGCAACGCGAANAACCUUACCUACUCUUGACAUCCACAGAAUUCGGAAGAAGAUGCCUUAGUGCCUUCAGCAACCGUGAGACAGGUGCUGCAUGGUUGUCGUCUGCUCGUGUUGUGAGAUGUUGGNUUAAGUCCCGCAAGCGAGCGCAACCCUUAUCNUGUUGUUGCCAGNNAUUCCGGUCAGCAACUCAAAANAAUACUGCCGA